RNAcentral lists this ribosomal RNA (468 nucleotides) under uncultured bacterium. RNAcentral's name for it is "partial 16S ribosomal RNA". It matches the Rfam family "Bacterial small subunit ribosomal RNA", at positions 28 to 507 of the family's 1533-position model. The record is from RNAcentral.
GACGAACGCUGGCGGCGUGCUUAACACAUGCAAGUCGAACGGAAAGGCCCUGCUUUUGUGGGGUGCUCGAGUGGCGAACGGGUGAGUAACACGUGAGUAACCUGCCCUUGACUUUGGGAUAACUUCAGGAAACUGGGGCUAAUACCCGAUAGGAGCUCCUGCUGCAUGGUGGGGGUUGGAAAGUUUCGGCGGUUGGGGAUGGACUCGCGGCUUAUCAGCUUGUUGGUGGGGUAGUGGCUUACCAAGGCUUUGACGGGUAGCCGGCCUGAGAGGGUGACCGGCGACAAUGGGACUGCGAUACGGCGCAGACUCCUACGGGAGGCAGCAGGGGAGAAUAUUGCGCAAUAGGCGGAAGCCUGAUGCAGCAACGCCGCGUGCGGGAUGACGGCCUUCGGGUUGUAAACCGCUUUCGCCUGUGACGAAGCGUGAGUGACGGUAAUGGGUAAGGAAGCCCCGGCUAACUACGUG